ACGUAGGUGGCAAGCGUUGUCCGGAAUUAUUGGGCGUAAAGCGCGCGCAGGCGGUUCCUUAAGUCUGAUGUGAAAUCUCGCGGCUCAACCGCGAGCGGCCAUUGGAAAACUGGGGGAACUUGAGUGCAGGAGAGGGGGAGCGGGAAUUCCACGUGUAGCGGUGAAAUGCGUAGAGAUGUGGAGGAACACCAGUGGCGAAGGCGGCUCUCUGGCCUGUAACUGACGCUGAGGAGCGAAAAGCGUGGGGAGCGAACAGGAUUAGAUACCCGCGUAGUCC
Molecule: ribosomal RNA, 277 nt
Filed under: uncultured bacterium
Lineage: Bacteria
Description: partial 16S ribosomal RNA
Rfam family: Bacterial small subunit ribosomal RNA
Source: RNAcentral